Molecule: ribosomal RNA, 345 nt
Filed under: uncultured eukaryote
Lineage: Eukaryota
Description: SSU rRNA
Rfam family: Eukaryotic small subunit ribosomal RNA
Source: RNAcentral
AUAGCGUAUAUUAAAGUUGUUGCAGUUAAAAAGCUCGUAGUUGAACCUUGGGUCUGGCUGGCCGGUCCGCCUCACCGCGAGUACUGGUCCGGCUGGACCUUUCCUUCUGGGGAACCUCAUGGCCUUCACUGGCUGUGGGGGGAACCAGGACUUUUACUGUGAAAAAAUUAGAGUGUUCAAAGCAGGCCUUUGCUCGAAUAUAUUAGCAUGGAAUAAUAGAAUAGGACGUAUGGUUCUAUUUUGUUGGUUUCUAGGACCGUCGUAAUGAUUAAUAGGGACAGUCGGGGGCAUCAGUAUUCAAUUGUCAGAGGUGAAAUUCUUGGAUUUAUUGAAGACUAACUACUG